Long non-coding RNA from Helianthus annuus (common sunflower), 734 nucleotides. RefSeq lists it as uncharacterized. The record is from RefSeq and is a predicted model, not a curated record. The transcript has 2 exons. Lineage: Eukaryota; Viridiplantae; Streptophyta; Magnoliopsida; Asterales; Asteraceae.
AAAAUAGAGCAUAAGACGGUGUUCAAUAUUUGGUUUAGACGGUGUUAUUAAAAUAACACCGUCUUAAAAUCAAUUCCUCACAUGACCGUUGUGCAAAUCCAAUUAAAAUAUUCAAAAAAAAUCCAUAAAACACCGUCUUAUGCUUCAACACCGUCUUAUGGUUACAUACGCACCCUUUAGACGGUGUUCCCUUUCAACACCGUCUUAUAUGCUCAUGCUUUAGACGGUGUUAUUUUAAUAACCCCGUCUUAAAAUCAAAUCCUCACAUGACCGUUACACCAACCCAAUUAAAAUAAUCAACAAAAUUCCAUACAACACCGUCUUAUGCUUAAACCCCGUCUUAUGUGUACAUAGCACCCUUUAGACGGUGUUACCUUUGAACACCGUCUUAUAUACUAUCAAAUUCAAAUCGCAGACUCUUCAACAACCCACCAAAUCUUCAUCUUUCUUCCAACUUUCUCACCUUCUUCAUUCUCUCAUCUUCUUCAUCCAACUUUCUCACCUUCUUCACUUAAUUUCAUCAUUAAGAAGCUUUUAAAGCUUUAAGAUGGAUCGCGAUUGGAUGUACUACCGAAAUCGUACAGAUGAAAUAUAUAUAAUGGGUGUUCAAAGUUUUCUUAAGGCCGCCGAAGCUCAUCGCGUGAAUAUGGGAGAUCGAUUAAUAUUUUGUCCCUGUGCAUCGUGUACAAAUUUUCAAAAAUUUGAUAUCAAAGAAAUAAACUUUCAUUUGUUUA